AUUGAACGCUGGCGGCAUGCUUUACACAUGCAAGUCGAACGGCAGCGCGGGCUUCGGCCUGGCGGCGAGUGGCGAACGGGUGAGUAAUACAUCGGGACGUGCCCAGUAGUGGGGGAUAGCUCGGCGAAAGCCGGAUUAAUACCGCAUACGACCUGAGGGUGAAAGCGGGGGAUCUUCGGACCUCGCGCUAUUGGAGCGGCCGAUGGCAGAUUAGCUAGUUGGUGGGGUAAAGGCCUACCAAGGCGACGAUCUGUAGCUGGUCUGAGAGGACGACCAGCCACACUGGGACUGAGACACGGCCCAGACUCCUACGGGAGGCAGCAGUGGGGAAUUUUGGACAAUGGGCGAAAGCCUGAUCCAGCAAUGCCGCGUGUGUGAUGAAGGCCUUCGGGUUGUAAAGCACUUUUGGCGGGAACGAAAAGGACUGUGCCAAUACCACGGUUCGAUGACGGUACCCGCAGAAUAAGCACCGGCUAACUACGUG
This 484-nucleotide ribosomal RNA is filed under the name uncultured bacterium. RNAcentral's name for it is "partial 16S ribosomal RNA". It matches the Rfam family "Bacterial small subunit ribosomal RNA", at positions 29 to 507 of the family's 1533-position model. The record is from RNAcentral.